This 1278-nucleotide long non-coding RNA is filed under the name Lynx pardinus (Iberian lynx). The record is from RNAcentral. Lineage: Eukaryota; Metazoa; Chordata; Mammalia; Carnivora; Felidae.
CUAUGGUCUGUGCACCAAACAAAGUAAGUGGCGUGGCUUCCUUAAGACUGCAUUUUAUGGAGUAUUGCUUGGUGAGCAAAAAGAAUGAAAUCUUGCCAUUUGCAACAACGUGGAUGGAACUAGAGGGUAUUAUGCUAAGCGAAUGAGUCAGAGAAAGACAAAUAUGACUUUACUCAUAUGUGGAAUUGAAGAAACAAAACAAAUGAACAUAAGGGAGGGGAAGCAAAAUAUGAAAACAGGGAGGGGGACAGACCAUAAGAGACUCUUAAAUACAGAGAACAAACUGAGGGUUGCUGGAGGGGUGGUGGGUGGGGGGAUGGGCUAAAUGAGUAAGGGGCAUUAAGGAGGACACUUGUUGGGAUGAGCACUGGGUAUCAUAUGUAGGGGAUGAGGCACUGGGUUCUACUCCUGAAAUCAGUCUUACACUAGAUGCUAACUUGGAUGAAAAUUUUUAAAAAAGACUGCAUUUUAUUAAUGUGCCACACAGGCCCUUUUCCACAACAGGUUUAUUGUAGAAUGUACAUUGAUUCGGAUCCUAGUAGUUGACGGCAGGCCCUGCAAAGUUCCUGGCACAGCGGGAGUCCUCUUCGUGAGGGGCCAGGCGUGGCCGUGCUCAGACCAGGGAGGACCUUCAUCGUGCUCCUGGGAGAAGCCACAGAGGCUGCCAGCUCUCUUCUCAGUGUUUCUCAGGCCCACAGAAGAGUUGCCGAGGGCUGGCGACCAUCCGAACAGGAAGGAGCCUGGCAGAGGCGUCCCUGCCCCGCACGGCUCAGAGAGAGUAAGGAUGGUGAGAGGUCACUCCUCCCUCCUGUGGGCAGCCCUUGGCUCACCGGCCACAGAUGUCACAGCAGUGACUGGGUUCCCUGUGCUCGCUUUGGAGGGCGUGCAUGUUCAGUUCUGGAGCAAUGAAAGGCAAGGGUCCAGAUCUCUUACCUGAUCUUAACAGAAACUACAGUCAUACCACCGUAUCUCAGCGUGUGACAGCUAUUUCGAAAAGCCCCGUCUGUAACUUCCACGUUGACAUUCUUGCCCUUAAACUCAACUGGGGGGGCUCCCUCAUUGUCUGUGAAGCUGCCGGCACCCGUCAGCUCCCCUGUCAUUGGUGCUGUCUGUCUCUGAAGGCCUCCCUGCCCAGUGCUCCCCCACUCCACCUCUGUCCUCCGCGUGCCCCGAGUAUGUCCCGCUUUUGCUCGCUGAUCUGCGGACCGUUGCUGGUGGAUUACUUCUCAGGCCUCGAAAUCCUGAUGUUUCAAAGAGCCAUACUUCUUGCCAGUUUUC